Molecule: long non-coding RNA, 234 nt
Filed under: Phoenix dactylifera (date palm)
Lineage: Eukaryota; Viridiplantae; Streptophyta; Magnoliopsida; Arecales; Arecaceae
Description: long non-coding RNA (PDAC_LNC014454)
Source: RNAcentral
CAUCUGCAGGAUUUGGAAACACCCGCCUCAUAUACCCAGGCUCUGAAAUGAGCCUCAUGAUCAUGCUUCAAAUAUCAUUUUCAGAAAGUAUGCAUAUGAAACCGUGCCCCCGGCAUGCCGUGAUCCAUUCUCUCUGAUGCUACUGCGAAGUCCAUUCGGCCACUGGCGGGGCCAGCUAGUCAUUCUCGGCCACUAGCAAGGCCAGCGAAGUUAUUCUCGGCCACUAGCAAGGCC